Molecule: ribosomal RNA, 271 nt
Filed under: uncultured bacterium
Lineage: Bacteria
Description: partial 16S ribosomal RNA
Rfam family: Bacterial small subunit ribosomal RNA
Source: RNAcentral
UACGUAGGGUGCGAGCGUUAAUCGGAAUUACUGGGCGUAAAGCGUGCGCAGGCGGUUAUGCAAGACAGAAGUGAAAUCCCCGGGCUCAACCUGGGAACUGCAUUGGAGACUGUAAGGCUAGAGUGUGUCAGAGGGGGGUAGAAUUCCACGUGUAGCAGUGAAAUGCGUAGAUAUGUGGAGGAAUACCGAUGGCGAAGGCAGCCCCCUGGGAUAACACUGACGCUCAUGCACGAAAGCGUGGGGAGCAAACAGGAUUAGAAACCCUUGUAGU